This 545-nucleotide ribosomal RNA is filed under the name Lysinibacillus sphaericus. Its description in RNAcentral is "partial 16S ribosomal RNA". Lineage: Bacteria; Bacillati; Bacillota; Bacilli; Caryophanales; Bacillaceae. The record is from RNAcentral.
UUACCUAAAACCCCAUUUCGAAACCCUUCCGAAUCAGGGCAAUGAAUUAGGGGAGCCAACGGGGACUUGGGCAAAUUUACGACCCGAGUCCCUCCCAAGGUUUCCAUCCCGUUGGCCCGUGAAAACAGGGUUUUCCAAUAGGGGACAGACAACAUGCAGAUGGUGGCACUCGUUCCCUUACAACAUAGGUUAAGUCCCGAAUCAGUCAUCCUUUGAUCGAGUGCCAUCAAUAUUUGGGCCUUAGGAUUCCGGUGACAACCUGCAGGUAAGAUGUCUGAUCCGUUAAUGUUCAAGUGCUAUGAUCAUGGCUUAGCGUCGGUGCUACAAAUGGCGAUACUGGAGGCACCUCGCGAGAGGAGAUAAUCCCGAUAAGUCCGUUCCUCAAGUUCGAUGUAGGCGCUCUUUCGGUAAUGAACCUGAGAAUCGAUAGUAUUCGGUUAGCAUGCCGCUGUGAAUACGUUUCGGGCCUAGACGCUAGCCGCGUCACGUGUGAGAGUUGUACCGCUAAGUCAAAAGGCAACUUACUCUCUCUGCAACGGUAACUC